This 334-nucleotide ribosomal RNA is filed under the name uncultured bacterium. Its description in RNAcentral is "bacterial SSU rRNA". It matches the Rfam family "Bacterial small subunit ribosomal RNA", at positions 9 to 307 of the family's 1533-position model. The record is from RNAcentral.
GAGUUUGAUCAUGGCUCAGGAUGAACGCCGGCGGUGUGCCUAAUACAUGCAAGUCGAGCGCACUGGCCCAACAGAAAUGACGUGCUUGCACUGAUUUGACGUUGGAUUCCCAGUGAGCGGCGGACGGGUGAGUAACACGUGGGCAACCUGCCCCAAAGCGGGGGAUAACAUUUGGAAACAGGUGCUAAUACCGCAUAACUUGGAAAACCACAUGGUUUUCCAAUAAAGAUGGUUUCGGCUAUCACUUUGGGAUGGGCCCGCGGUGCAUUAGCUAGUUGGUAAGGUAACGGCUUACCAAGGCGAUGAUGCAUAGCCGAGUUGAGAGACUGAUCGG